GCCAAUCAGAACUCUUGUUAUAUUUGCCUUUUGGUGCGAAACUGGUUUGUUUGGAAAAAAUGGCUGCUGCCAUGAUGGUGCCUUUUUCACAUCUUCUGCAAGUUUAUGUGACGACCUGUUUAAAGUUUAACAUUGACACGCGGAGAUGAUGCCAAUGAUUCACCAUUAGAAGAUAUGACGGUAACAGUGGUCCAGAACUUGGCUCAACCAGAGUUCCACCAACAUUGCAACAUGCACACAACCAGCAAAACAUACCAAGAAGACGACGCAGAAGAAGAGGACAAGGAUGCAUUCUACGACGCCUUCAAAGUGUUUCAAAGGACAUCCCCCAACACGACAUGCUGAUGUUGCUCGGCGACUUCAAUGCUAAGGUUUGCUGCGACAACAAAGACAAAAAGAGGACCAUGGGAAGACAUGGAGUGGAUGUGAUCACCAACAACGGGGAGAGACUAGUCAAUUCUGCCAACAGAACGACU
Long non-coding RNA from Dreissena polymorpha, 476 nucleotides. RefSeq lists it as uncharacterized. The transcript has 3 exons. Lineage: Eukaryota; Metazoa; Mollusca; Bivalvia; Myida; Dreissenidae. The record is from RefSeq and is a predicted model, not a curated record.